Molecule: ribosomal RNA, 2917 nt
Filed under: Mesoplasma lactucae ATCC 49193
Lineage: Bacteria; Bacillati; Mycoplasmatota; Mollicutes; Entomoplasmatales; Entomoplasmataceae
Description: bacterial LSU rRNA
Rfam family: Bacterial large subunit ribosomal RNA
Source: RNAcentral
UAAUAAAAGUAAGGGCAUACGGUGAAUGCCUUGGAAAAUGGAGCCGAAGAAGGACGUGACUACCUGCGAAAAGCAUCGGGGAGCUGGAAGUGAGCUUUGAUCCGAUGAUGUCCGAAUAGGGAAACCUGGCGAGACUAAUCUCUCGUCGUCGUUAAGUGAAUACAUAGCUUAACGUCGGGAACCUUGGGAACUGAAACAUCUUAGUACCAAGAGGAAAAGAAAACAAAUAGUGAUUCUCCUAGUAGCGGCGAGCGAACGGGGAACAGGCCAAACCGGUCUUCGGACCGGGGUUGUAGGACUUCUCUUAGAGUUACAAAAUUAACAUAUAGUGGAAAUAGUUGGGAAACUAUGACACAGAGGGUGAUAUCCCCGUACACGAAAUAUGUUAAUCUCGAAGAAGUAUCCUGAGUACGACGAAACACGUGAAAUUUUGUCGGAAUCUGUCGAGACCACUCGAUAAGCCUAAAUACUCCCAUUUUACCGAUAGUGAACCAGUACCGUGAGGGAAAGGUGAAAAGUACCCCGAGAGGGGAGUGAAAUAGUUCCUGAAACCGUAUGCUUACAAGAAGAUAGAGCCCGUUAAUGGGUGAUAUCGUGCUUUUUGUAGAAAGAGCCGGCGAGUUACAAUUGCAUGCAAGGUUAAGCUGAUUAAAAGUGGAGCCGUAGUGAAAGCGAGCCUUAAUAGGGCGUUCAGUAUGUAGUUGUAGACACGAAACCGAGUGAUCUAGCCAUGACCAGGUUGAAGUUGGGGUAAAACCCAAUGGAGGACCGAACCGACGUUCGUUGAAAAGACCGCGGAUGAGUUGUGGCUAGAGGUGAAAUUCCAAUCGAACUCGGAGAUAGCUAGUUCUCCCCGAUAUAUCUUUAAGGAUAGCGUCGAGGUUAGACUUGUGGAGGUAGAGCACUGAAUUUAUGAUGGCCGCACCUAGCGGUACUGAUUAAAAUUAAACUCCGAAUGCCAUAAGUUAUACUCGGCAGUCAGAACAUGGGUGAUAAGGUCCAUGCUCGUGAGGGAAACAGCCCAGAUCGCCAGUUAAGGUCCCUAAGUUAAUACUAAGUGUGUAAGGAUGUGAAAUUGCACAGACAGCUAGGAUGUUGGCUCAGAAGCAGCCAUCAUUUAAAGAGUGCGUAACAGCUCACUAGUCGAGUGAUUUUGCGCCGAAAAUGUACCGGGGCUUAAGUAUUACACCGAAACUGCGGAUUGUAUAUUUAUAUACAGUGGUAGGGGAGCGUUCCAAACGCAAUGAAGUCAGACCGUGAGGACUGGUGGAGUGUUUGGAAGUGAUUAUGCCGGCAUGAGUAACGUUUGAAGGUGAGAAUCCUUCAUGCCGUUUAACCAAGGUUUCCUGGGCAAGGUUCGUCCACCCAGGGUUAGUCAGGACCUAAGGAGAGGCCGAGAGGCGUAUUCGAUGGACAACAGGUUGAUAUUCCUGUACUGGUUAAUUAGUGAUGGAGUGACGGAGAAAGAUAGUGUAUCCCAGGCGUUGGUUGUCCUGGGCCAAGCGCAAAGGUGGUGUUGUAGGCAAAUCCGCAACAUAUUCAACAUUGAAGCGUGAUGGGGAGCGAACGGUUCGCCUAGUAGUGAAGUACAUGACUCUAUGCUUCCAAGAAAAGCUUCUAACUUAAUAAUUAAUCACCUGUACCUAGAACGAACACACGUGGUUAAGGAGAAAAUCCUAAGGCAAGCGAGAAAACUGUAGUUAAGGAACUCUGCAAAAUCACCCCGUAAGUUCGCAAGAAGGGGUGCUCAGCUUACGCUGAGCCGCAGUGAAGAGGGAGGGGCAACUGUUUAACAAAAACACAGCUCUCUGCUAAGUCAUAAGACGAAGUAUAGGGGGUGACGCCUGCCCAGUGCCGGAAGGUUAAAAGGAGAUGUCAGGCUUUGAGCCAAAGCAUUGAAUUGAAGCCCCGGUGAACGGCGGCCGUAACUAUAACGGUCCUAAGGUAGCGAAAUUCCUUGUCAGGUAAAUUCUGACCCGCACGAAAGGCGUAAUGAUCCCUUCGCUGUCUCAACUACAGACUCGGUGAAAUUUUAGUACCAGUGAAGAUGCUGGUUACCCGCAACUAGACGGAAAGACCCCGUGGAGCUUUACUAUAACUUGAUAUUGAAAUUUGGUGCAACGUGUAGAGGAUAGGUCGGAGACUUUGAAGCACACUCGCUAGAGUGUGUGGAGUCGCCCUUGGAAUACGACCCUCGUUGCAUUGACUUUCUAACUUCGACCCGUUAUCCGGGUUAAGGACAGUGUCUGGUGGGUAGUUUGACUGGGGCGGUCGCCUCCUAAAAUGUAACGGAGGCGCUCAAAGGUAUCCUCAGCAUGGUUGGAAAUCAUGCAUAGAGCGCAAAGGUAGAAGGAUGCUUAACUGCGAGACUUACAAGUCGAACAGAUGCGAAAGCAGGACUUAGUGAUCCGGCGGUCCCGAGUGGAAGGGCCGUCGCUCAACGGAUAAAAGUUACCCCGGGGAUAACAGGCUGAUCUCCCCCAAGAGUUCACAUCGACGGGGAGGUUUGGCACCUCGAUGUCGGCUCAUCGCAUCCUGGAGCUGAAGUCGGUUCCAAGGGUUGGGCUGUUCGCCCAUUAAAGCGGUACGCGAGCUGGGUUCAGAACGUCGUGAGACAGUUUGGUCCCUAUCUGUUGUGGGCGUCGGAAAAUUGAGAAGAGUUGACUCUAGUACGAGAGGACCGAGUUGAACACACCCCUGGUGCUCCAGUUGUCGUGCCAACGGCACAGCUGGGUAGCUAAGUGUGGACAGGAUAAUCGCUGAAGGCAUCUAAGCGAGAAGCCCCCUUCGAGAUGAAUUUUCCCACCUGAUUUAUCAGGUUAAGAUCCCAUGUAGACCACAUGGUUGAUAGGAUGGAUGUGUAAGUACCGUGAGGUAUUAAGCUAACCAUUACUAAUAGAUCGAAAGAAAUUAGACG